Molecule: ribosomal RNA, 250 nt
Filed under: uncultured prokaryote
Description: partial 16S ribosomal RNA
Rfam family: Bacterial small subunit ribosomal RNA
Source: RNAcentral
UACGUAGGGGGCAAGCGUUAUCCGGAUUUACUGGGUGUAAAGGGAGCGCAGACGGUAAAGCAAGUCUGAAGUGAAAGCCCGCGGCUCAACUGCGGGACUGCUUUGGAAACUGUUUAACUAGAGUGCUGGAGAGGUAAGCGGAAUUCCUAGUGUAGCGGUGAAAUGCGUAGAUAUUAGGAAGAACAUCAGUGGCGAAGGCGGCUUACUGGACAGUAACUGACGUUCAGGCUCGAAAGCGUGGGGAGCAAAC